Molecule: ribosomal RNA, 460 nt
Filed under: uncultured bacterium
Lineage: Bacteria
Description: bacterial SSU rRNA
Rfam family: Bacterial small subunit ribosomal RNA
Source: RNAcentral
UGACAUCCAAUAACUUUCCAGAGAUGGAUUGGUGCCUUCGGGAACAUUGAGACAGGUGCUGCAUGGCUGUUGUCAGCUCGUGUCGUGAGAUGUUGGGUUAAGUCCCGUAACGAGCGCAACCCUUGUCCUUAGUUACCAGCACGUAAUGGUGGGCACUCUAAGGAGACUGCCGGUGACGAACCGGAGGAAGGUGGGGAUGACGUCAAGUCAUCAUGGCCCUUACGGCCUGGGCUACACACGUGCUACAAUGGUCGGUACAGAGGGUUGCCAAGCCGCGAGGUGGAGCUAAUCCCAGAAAACCGAUCGUAGUCCGGAUCGCAGUCUGCAACUCGACUGCGUGAAGUCGGAAUCGCUAGUAAUCGCGAAUCGGAAUGUCGCGGUGAAUACGUUCCCGGGCCCUGUACACACCGCCCGUCACACCAUGGGAGUGGGUUGCACCAGAAGUAGCUAGUCUAACCUU